This 420-nucleotide ribosomal RNA is filed under the name uncultured eukaryote. RNAcentral describes it as "SSU rRNA". It matches the Rfam family "Eukaryotic small subunit ribosomal RNA", at positions 592 to 1016 of the family's 1831-position model. The record is from RNAcentral.
CAAGAGCGUAUAUUAAAGUUGUUGCAGUUAAAAGCUCGUAGUUGGAUUUCUGGUACAACGCGCCUGGCCCGCUUUUGUGAGUGCCGGUGCGCGUUUGCCAUCCUUCUAGAAAACGUCUCUACUCGGGCAACUGGGCCGGAUUCGCGAUCUAGAUCUUUUACUUUGAAAAAAUUAGAGUGUUUAAAGCAGGCUAUUGCCUUGAAUACAUUAGCAUGGAAUAAUAAUCUAGGACUUCGGUUCUAUUUUGUUGGUUCUUAGUACUGAAGUAAUGAUUGAUAGGGAUAGUUGGGGGUGCUAGUAUUGGCCGGCCAGAGGUGAAAUUCUUGGAUUCGGUCAAGACUAACUUAUGCGAAAGCAUUUGCCAAGGAUGUUUUCAUUGAUCAAGAACGAAAGUUAGGGGAUCGAAGACGAUCAGAUACC